Molecule: ribosomal RNA, 399 nt
Filed under: uncultured bacterium
Lineage: Bacteria
Description: bacterial SSU rRNA
Rfam family: Bacterial small subunit ribosomal RNA
Source: RNAcentral
CAGGUCUUGACAUCCCUUGACAACUCCAGAGAUGGAGCGUUCCCUUCGGGGACAAGGUGACAGGUGGUGCAUGGUUGUCGUCAGCUCGUGUCGUGAGAUGUUGGGUUAAGUCCCGCAACGAGCGCAACCCUUAUUACUAGUUGCCAGCAUUUAGUUGGGCACUCUAGUGAGACUGCCGGUGACAAACCGGAAGAAGGUGGGGAUGACGUCCAAUCAUCAUGCCCCUUAUGACCUGGGCUACACACGUGCUACAAUGGGGUAUACAACGAGUUGCCAACCCGCGAGGGUGAACUAAUCUCUUAAAGUACGUCUCAGUUCGGAUUGUAGGCUGCAACUCGCCUACCUGAAGUCGGAAUCGCUAGUAAUCGCGGAUCAGCACGCCGCGGUGAAUACGUUCCC